AAUGGGUCAGCGACUUAUAUUCUGUAGCAAGGUUAACCGUAUAGGGGAGCCGAAGGGAAACCGAGUCUUAACUGGGCGUUAAGUUGCAGGGUAUAGACCCGAAACCCGGUGAUCUAGCCAUGGGCAGGUUGAAGGUUGGGUAACACUAACUGGAGGACCGAACCGACUAAUGUUGAAAAAUUAGCGGAUGACCUGUGGCUGGGGGUGAAAGGCCAAUCAAACCGGGAGAUAGCUGGUUCUCCCCGAAAGCUAUUUAGGUAGCGCCUCGUGAAUUCAUCUUCGGGGGUAGAGCACUGUUUCGGCUAGGGGGCCAUCCCGGCUUACCAACCCGAUGCAAACUACGAAUACCGAAGAAUGUUAUCACGGGAGACACACGGCGGGUGCUAACGUCCGUCGUGAAGAGGGAAACAACCCAGACCGCCAGCUAAGGUCCCAAAGUCAUGGUUAAGUGGGAAACGAUGUGGGAAGGCACAGACAGCCAGGAUGUUGGCUUAGAAGCAGCCAUCAUUUAAAGAAAGCGUAAUAGCUCACUGGUCGAGUCGGCCUGCGCGGAAGAUGUAACGGGGCUAAACCAUG
RNAcentral lists this ribosomal RNA (576 nucleotides) under Enterobacter hormaechei. RNAcentral describes it as "partial 23S ribosomal RNA". It matches the Rfam family "Bacterial large subunit ribosomal RNA", at positions 614 to 1191 of the family's 2925-position model. Lineage: Bacteria; Pseudomonadati; Pseudomonadota; Gammaproteobacteria; Enterobacterales; Enterobacteriaceae. The record is from RNAcentral.